GUAUAUUAGCUUUGGUUGUACGUAAUCUAAAAUUGGAAUAAUACAGGGAAGAUUAGAAUGGCCUCUGUGCAAGGAUGACACAAAUUUGUGAAGCAUUCCAUAUUUCC
Small nuclear RNA from Octopus sinensis (East Asian common octopus), 107 nucleotides. Lineage: Eukaryota; Metazoa; Mollusca; Cephalopoda; Octopoda; Octopodidae. The record is from RefSeq and is a predicted model, not a curated record.